Molecule: ribosomal RNA, 415 nt
Filed under: uncultured bacterium
Lineage: Bacteria
Description: bacterial SSU rRNA
Rfam family: Bacterial small subunit ribosomal RNA
Source: RNAcentral
GAUGAACGCUAGCGAUAGGCCUAACACAUGCAAGUCGAGGGGCAUCACAUGAAGUAGCAAUACGGAUGGUGGCGACCGGCGCACGGGUGAGUAACACGUAUGCAACCUGCCUUCAACAAGGGGAUAACCCGUUGAAAGACGGACUAAUACCCUAUAACACAGGGGUCCCGCAUGGGAAUAUUUGUUAAAGGACAACCGGUUGAAGAUGGGCAUGCGUUCCAUUAGCUAGUUGGCGGGGUAACGGCCCACCAAGGCAACGAUGGAUAGGGGAACUGAGAGGUUUAUCCCCCACACUGGUACUGAGACACGGACCAGACUCCUACGGGAGGCAGCAGUGAGGAAUAUUGGUCAAUGGACGCAAGUCUGAACCAGCCACGUCGCGUGAAGGAAGACGGCCCUACGGGUUGUAAACUUC